This 6413-nucleotide long non-coding RNA is filed under the name Lactuca sativa (garden lettuce). RNAcentral describes it as "long non-coding RNA (LSAT_LNC010049)". The record is from RNAcentral. Lineage: Eukaryota; Viridiplantae; Streptophyta; Magnoliopsida; Asterales; Asteraceae.
CCCUAAACUUAAGGUUUUCUUUCCUUUCUUGGCCUUCAAAACUUUGGGUGUUACAACUCUCCCCCACUUAAAUUAAACUUCGUCCUCGAAGUUUGCCAUGGCCCACCGCCUGCGAUCCGCCUCCAAUACCCACCAAUUAUCCCAACACCAGCCGCCUACCUGCGCUGGUCUUCCACCUGGUCAUUCUGACUAACAUAAACCUCGUGGUUAAACCUCGGGUCAAACCUGACCCUGAACAACUUAGAAACAGAACUUACUCAACCGACAAUCCUUCUGGUACUCACCGAGUACCGCACUGAACCCAUAGGGGUUCUCCACUUCCUUCUUUGUGUGAUUUCCUUGCCUCCCCAAGGCAAUGCUCCAUAACCAAUUAUUCCUUCUAUCACUGUGAAGGCCCUAUCCUUCACCAACUCCAUCACCCCCGCUUACCAGUAUGGGUCAUUAUCGCUAAUAUCCACUGGGCAUUUCUUUCUAUUAUGGUUUGGUGCAGAGCACACCACGAUCAACUAACUGAAUUCCACCAUGCGCUGCACGCUCGCAUUGCCACUGCCUGAGAAUUCUGUUGUUCUUCAUCUGACUUCCUGAUGAACUGAGACCACCCUGGUCCCUACCAACCUAUCAAUGACUGGAUUGCCGGNAGUCCCAACACCACCACUAGUCGCUCCCAGCGACUUCCAAAGAACUUCGAUCACCUAUAACUGCUCAAUCUACUCUGCCAUUCAGGCACUACAAACCUGGGAUUCUCGAUCCCCUAACUUGACACUAAGGUCCCUACCAGGUCCCACCUGUGCUGCUAAAACUCACAGGCCUCGCCCACGAGUCCCACCCACAUCUAUCCUUCUAUUCCCACUAGUCUAAUCACUCUCGCUCGGGCCUCGCCCACAGGUCUCACCCAACCAUACUACUGAGCAACCCUGCUCCCAGGUCUCAUUUACACUGCUAAUCUCAUACGGGCCUUACCCACGGGUCUCACCUAACUAUAUCCUGGAGCGGCCUCUCCCAAGGUCUCACCCCUCUAGGGCUAUACAGGCAAAAUCCAUAUCAUUCUCGUCCACUACCCAUUCCUGAUCCCUAUCUGAUCACUAGGAGAUAAGGGCCUCGCCACAACUCCGCUAACAAAACUACUAAGGAAUGCUACGGCUUACCCGUAGUCUUAUAUCACCAUCCAUUGCUGACUGCUAGAACGAAGGCAGCCAUGUGCCAUUAGCUCUCAGGAUCCUCAUUCCGACUCCCUCGAGUCCUACGGGCGAUCCACAACCUGAAUUCUCAACCAUAGCUAACCAUUACCUUCACACGCACUAGCUGAUGGGGAGUUUCUCAAACUCCCAACCCUGAAAUCCUCAAUCCAUGAAACGCUGAACUACUUCUCUUCCUUCUCGAAGGUCACGUACUCAUUCUGGGUCUGCGUGCUCCUCUCUGGGCACAACCGGAGGAUUCUCCCCCACUUCAAUCCUGCUUACCCCUUGCUGCUCAAUACUCAAAAGAGAUCCCGAUCUUUGCUACCAUUUCAUAACCCAUCUACUGAGGAACCCAAGCCCACCAUAGUUAGGGAUUUAGCCAAUCUAUCACAAUCGCUGUACCACUCCGAACUUAGCGAGACGUACCAAAUCUCUCCCAAGCAUGCUACAGUUACUGCAUCCUUCGAAACCUUCUUCAUUAGAGCACAUCCCCUAACUACCAUACAAAUAUCCAAGGUAUGCAGAUGGCAUAUAACUCGAUCACAAUCAACCACUCAAAAUAAAAUACUUUUACCGAUAAUGAUGCAGAAACAUAACAAUAAAAUCAUGCACAAAUAAAAGAACUGAAAAUGGGAAAAUUGCAUACCUGCAACGUCCGGCGUUGCUCGCGUCUCCAAGGUCGUCAUCUGAAAAGCCCUGCUCCCUGCUGCAGGUGCCUCUACCCGGCCCUGACGGCCAUCCGCGAUCCUCAAGGUUGCAGGGGCGGGUGCCAUCACCCGUCCUGCCGAAGACAAACUGGGGCACUGGGCCUUCUUGUGGCCCCGCUGGUUGCAAUGAAAACAUAUCAAGUCUGAUCCCUGCGCGGCGGUAACAGUACAAUCCCUGCUGAAAUGACCAGUCCGACCGCACUUGAAACAACCAGACUCACCACCGCUACCACUCCUGCACGCGCCCCCGUGCGCCCUGCCACACUUUCCGCACCGACUACGGUCCUGAUGAUCCCUCGAUCUCGAAUUCGGUCCCUUGGGCCUUUUACCCGAGCCCGUAGCUACCUGAACCUCAUCCGGCCUUCUCUUCCGGAUUUGCUCCAAAUCAAUUUCCCUUUCUCUAGCCCGAGAAAUCAUAUCUUCCAGCGUCUUACAGCUGGAUCUGCUCACGAACUCCCUGAUGUCAUCCCUCAACAUCUCAUGGUANCUCAUCCGCUACAUACUGCGGUACAAGAAGAGCCCUCUCCCUGAACUUGGCGGUGAUCUCCGCCACAGUCUCAGUAGUCUGCGUCAAAUCCUGAAACUCUCGUGCCAGCUGCUGCACCUCAAUAAUCGGCGAAAACUCCGCCCUGAACCUGGCCGAGAAAUCGCUCCAAGUCAUCGCGUCCAACGCGGCAUCAUCCCCCAAAGCAUGACCAAUCUCCUCCCACCAAUCCCUCGCUCUGUCCUUCAGAAGACAGGAGGCGAGCCUAACCUUGUCCCCCUCGGGACACUUGCUCGUACGAAAAGCGUUGGCAACAUCAGCCAACCAUCUGCUGCUAGCAAUGGGGUCCCUAGCCCCAUGAUAAUCUGGUGCCCCGCAAGCCCUGAACUCUCGAAAUGUCAAGGUACGUGCUCCCAACAACGCCAUCAUCUCGGUACGGAAGGCUCCCAGCCUCUCAUCUAAGAUCUCCAGUAUACCCUCCAUGAUCGUGCCAAAGAUCACAGGAGUCUGAGCUAGGAUACAGCGCAUAACCUCAGUUGAUAUCAACUUUCUCAUCCGCUCCUCGAGCUGCUCGGCCCCUGAACCCAAGCCUGAUCCCUCUCUGGCGCCUAAUCCGCCUGUUGGUCUCUCUCGCAACGUCACCAUGCUGAAACAUAUAACACAACCACUAUCAGAAAACUCAUCACUGCUGCGAGACCGAACACACCCCCUACUAGGUUCCCUGUCUUGUCUUGGCCCUUCCCGAAUCAAGUACAGAUCCUCUGCUUUCAAUAGUACGGGCCCAUACUACCUUCCACAUCUAUCCGUACUUUCCUCAGGAAUUGCUUUGACUCCACCAGGUCCCUUAUCCACUAAUACUGCUCCGAGCACUAUCUCAUCCUAGGCUUACCCUAGGGAAACCUCUGACUCAACUCAACCAGUCCUCAGCUGCUGAAGGUCUCCUUGUGAUGCCAAUUAGCCAUCACCUGGAUAUCAUCACAUGUGACGAGGCUCAGAUAAUCCUUCAAGUAAAGGACUCGUCCCUACAACGGUUGGACUCAAACGAGAGCUGCGCAAUAGGGCCAAAUCCAGCACUCUGAGAUUAUUCAACCCUGAUCACAUGUGACGUGACGUAUCCACCUAAUGGCUAACUCCCAUCACUCAAAAUCCCACAAUGCACAAAGCAAGCAGCAUUCGGACAAGGGAAAAUCUAACCACAACAUACUCAAGCAAUCAUAUCCACAUAGCAAGAAUCUGAACUAGCAUGCAACACAAACUCAUAAACUCAGGCAUAACCUAAACAGGCUAUCCUACUACUGUCUAAUCAGCACUAUCAUGCAGCUCAAACACAUAUAAUAGGCACAUAAGGCAUCAUUCCUAGAUCCUUAGUCCUAAUCUAGCAUACUGUUCUAUCAACUGAUAAUCAUAACAUAAACUUGUAUGGGUAUUUUGGGGUACUUACUUGAGCUCGGUUGAUUGCAUGCACCACACCCUUUUUCUCUUUUCAAAGUUCUUUUCUUUCUGAAUUAUUUUUGCCUUUCUAAAACUGUUUUCUUUCCCAAAACUCUCCUUUUACAAAACUGUCUUUUCAUUUUGAAAACUUCUAUACCAAUCCCUCAGUUUGAGUUCAGACACGCUCGAGAGCAUGUCCGAAUCCCUCAAACCAAGGCUCUGAUACCAAUUUGUAACGUCCCAAAAUUCAAGACUAAAAAUUUCAUUUAAUAAAACAUUACGUUAAGCAAAUUCAUCGUUUUCAAACAUAAACAAAGUAUUAGUUUCCAAAAUACAUAUUCGUUAUCAGAGUAAACAUUCCUAGGCUGUCUAAGCUAUGGUGUGUGGCAUGCGAUCAUCCCGAGCUCCACCAUCCGCUACCGGAAGUACCUGAAACCAAAACUGAAAACCGUAAGCACGAAGCUUAGUGAGUUCCCCACCCUACCACAUACCAUGCAUAACUACAUACUGCACAUACUGGGCCGUGCCUGCUAUCCUAGGCCUCGCCCCCUACCUCGGGCCUCGCCCGCUACAACGGCCCCGCCUAGCUUUGAGCCCCGCUUGGAUACAGAUCUGUUUCACCUAGGCCUCGCCAAUCACAGGGCCUCGCCCACUAACAUAUAAUUGCACAUAAACAUCUCACAUAAGCUAAACACAUACUAACGGAUUUUUUCCUAAGGCCUCGCCUAUCUCUGGGCCCCGCCCCUGACCUGCUACUGAUGAGUCACAAAACCCCGUCCAUGCUCCUACUGGUAGUGAGAUACGGGCCCAUCCCACACUCACUCCUUUCCUGACUUGGGCCUCGCCCCUGCUCUGCUGCUACUGAGAUGUAGAACACCAUCCACACUCUGCUAUUGGUGAGAUACGGGACCUCGCCCACACUCACCUCCCUACCAGGCACAUACAAGUAUCACACAGACAACAAGUAUAAACUAUCACAUAAAACAUUCCUUGGGCACCCGCCCUCUAUCAUUGGACCUCGUCCCAAAUAUCAUACUAGCAUACUGGGCCUAGGGCUAACCCCUGGGUCUUCUACUUAUAACUACAUGGGCCGGCAUUGUGGCCGUAGACCCAUUCAUACAAAGGCUAACUCACCUGAUACUGCUGAACUAUUGCUACUAAUUCCUUUGACCGCUACCUGACCACUAACUACGGACUGCUGCUCCACUAGCUCCCCGAGCUACCAACAUCAACAUAACAAUUAGUCUAACUGACCUUCAAAGGUCAACUAAGUCAACUCUUGUCAAAGUCAAAGUCCUGGUCAAAGUCAACCUUCCAGGUCAACCCUAAUCGCCGAGUCCAAUUACUGACUCGCCGAGUUCUUAUACUCAAAGUCCUUCCAAUCGCUACUUGACUCGCCGAGUCAGCCCCUGACUCGCCGAGUCUACGGAUUCCCGAAUCCUGUCCUGACCAACUCACUGAGUCCUUGCUCGACUCGCUGACUCGAGUCUUAACUCGAAGGGUUUGGGGACUACGCGACCUGACUUGCUGAUCUAAGAACAGACUCACCGAGCACACGACAAUCUUCAUCCAACUCACCGAGUUGUUCAUCCAACUCGCCGAGUUCAUGCCUAUCUUCAUCCGACUCGACGAGCUGUUCAUCCCACUCGUCGAGUUCCUCCUCAUCUUCAAGCUACUCGCCGAGUCCAUUCAGAUCUACAUACAUGCAGAGGACUUUCGAGUCAUGCAUGGACUCCAAACUGUAGAUCUACCCUUCCCAAGCCUAUCCCCCACGUAAAGUUGCAAACUUUACGUGUAGAGAGGGAGAUCUAGGCAAAAAGCACCAUAAACUAGGGUUUAAAGCCAAGGGGCUUCAAAAUCGACACAAGGGCUGAUACUUUAUGCUUCCCCAGCUCAUAACACACUUGGAUCUGAAGUAGCAACUCCAGAUCCGGCUUCUAACUCACCAUAAUAUCAUUAUGGCUAAACAGCCCUAACAACCACACAUAAAUCUAGAUGCAAAAAGGGUCCAGGAACUAGUUUAUACCUCCAAAAGCUCAGAAAUGUCUUCCCAAUCCUGGAUCUACAGCCCCCCUUCUUGCACUCUCAAGAUUCUUCUUCUUCCUCCAAGCUAAAUGCACUAUUGAAGGCAAUAAAUGGUUCAAAUAGAGGAUAUGGCGGCUAGGGUUUGAUAUCCAGGGCUUAAGAGGCAGUAAGGAGCCCUAGGAAGAAGAUUAAGACGUUUAUAUAGGCUCCAAGUCCCGAAUUUAGGGUUUUCCAUGCACAGACCAGACUCGCCAAGUCCACUUGGCCGACUCGUCGAGUCGGUCACUUACUCCUCGACUCGGAUCCCGCUCGGACUCACCGAGUCCCUCCUUGGACUCACCGAGUCGACCCCUAAACUUAGGGUUUUCUUUCCUUUCUUGGCCUUCAAAACUUUGGGUGUUACAACUCUCCCCCACUUAAAUUAAACUUUGUCCUCGAAGUUUGCCAUGGUCCACCGCCUGCGAUCCGCCUCCAAUACCCACCAAUUAUCCCAACACCAGCCGCCUACCUGCGCUGGUCUUCCACCUGGUCAUUCUGACUAACAUAAACCUCGCGGUUAAACCUUGGGUCAAACUUGACCCUGAACAA